Molecule: ribosomal RNA, 1503 nt
Filed under: Campylobacter coli
Lineage: Bacteria; Pseudomonadati; Campylobacterota; Epsilonproteobacteria; Campylobacterales; Campylobacteraceae
Description: partial 23S ribosomal RNA
Rfam family: Bacterial large subunit ribosomal RNA
Source: RNAcentral
AAAAAAGGUAAGCUACUAAGAGCGAAUGGUGGAUGCCUUGACUGGUAAAGGCGAUGAAGGACGUACUAGACUGCGAUAAGCUACGGGGAGCUGUCAAGAAGCUUUGAUCCGUAGAUUUCCGAAUGGGGCAACCCAAUGUAUAGAGAUAUACAUUACCUAUAUAGGAGCGAACGAGGGGAAUUGAAACAUCUUAGUACCCUCAGGAAAAGAAAUCAAUAGAGAUUGCGUCAGUAGCGGCGAGCGAAAGCGCAAGAGGGCAAACCCAGUGCUUGCACUGGGGGUUGUAGGACUGCAAUGUGCAAGAGGUGAGUUUAGCAGAACAUUCUGGAAAGUAUAGCCAUAGAGGGUGAUAGUCCCGUAUGCGAAAAACAAACCUUAGCUAGCAGUAUCCUGAGUAGGGCGGGACACGAGAAAUCCUGUCUGAAGCUGGGUCGACCACGAUCCAACCCUAAAUACUAAUACCAGAUCGAUAGUGCACAAGUACCGUGAGGGAAAGGUGAAAAGAACUGAGGUGAUCAGAGUGAAAUAGAACCUGAAACCAUUUGCUUACAAUCAUUCAGAGCCCUAUGUAGCAAUACAGGGUGAUGGACUGCCUUUUGCAUAAUGAGCCUGCGAGUUGUGGUGUCUGGCAAGGUUAAGCAAACGCGAAGCCGUAGCGAAAGCGAGUCUGAAUAGGGCGCUUAGUCAGAUGCUGCAGACCCGAAACGAAGUGAUCUAUCCAUGAGCAAGUUGAAGCUAGUGUAAGAACUAGUGGAGGACUGAACCCAUAGGCGUUGAAAAGCCCCGGGAUGACUUGUGGAUAGGGGUGAAAGGCCAAUCAAACUUCGUGAUAGCUGGUUCUCUCCGAAAUAUAUUUAGGUAUAGCGUUGUGUCGUAAUAUAAGGGGGUAGAGCACUGAAUGGGCUAGGGCAUACACCAAUGUACCAAACCCUAUCAAACUCCGAAUACCUUAUAUGUAAUCACAGCAGUCAGGCGGCGAGUGAUAAAAUCCGUCGUCAAGAGGGAAACAACCCAGACUACCAGCUAAGGUCCCUAAAUCUUACUUAAGUGGAAAACGAUGUGAAGUUACUUAAACAACCAGGAGGUUGGCUUAGAAGCAGCCAUCCUUUAAAGAAAGCGUAAUAGCUCACUGGUCUAGUGAUUUUGCGCGGAAAAUAUAACGGGGCUAAAGUAAGUACCGAAGCUGUAGACUUGCGCACAACUUAGAUUAUUUAAGUUUAGAAUAUGAGAAACUAAGUUAUAUGUUUAGUUAUAUUUUUACUGAUUUUUAUAGAGUAAAGAUAGAAAUAAAACUUAGUAAAAUCAGUAAAAAUAUUCUUAGACUAAAGUUAAGUAGUUUAAGUUGUGUGCAAGUGGUAGGAGAGCGUUCUAUUUGCGUCGAAGGUAUACCGGUAAGGAGUGCUGGAGCGAAUAGAAGUGAGCAUGCAGGCAUGAGUAGCGAUAAUUAAUGUGAGAAUCAUUAACGCCGUAAACCCAAGGUUUCCUACGCGAUGCUCGUCAUCG